CCGGGCGCACGGGUGCGUAACGCGUAUGCAACCUACCAUCAACAGGGGGAUAACACUGAGAAAUUGGUACUAAUACCCCAUAAUAUCUCAUGCGGCAUCGCAUGGGGUUGAAAACUCCGGUGGUUGAUGAUGGGCAUGCGUUGUAUUAGCUGGUUGGUGAGGUAACGGCUCACCAAGGCGACGAUACAUAGGGGGACUGAGAGGUUAACCCCCCACAUUGGUACUGAGACACGGACCAAACUCCUACGGAAGGCAGCAG
Molecule: ribosomal RNA, 259 nt
Filed under: uncultured bacterium
Lineage: Bacteria
Description: partial 16S ribosomal RNA
Rfam family: Bacterial small subunit ribosomal RNA
Source: RNAcentral